This 949-nucleotide long non-coding RNA is filed under the name Homo sapiens (human). Its description in RNAcentral is "HSALNT0276699". The record is from RNAcentral. Lineage: Eukaryota; Metazoa; Chordata; Mammalia; Primates; Hominidae.
CUUUGAUGCUGUCCCUAAAGCAGUGGGAAAGAGCUUCAGGUCUCUGAGCUUGACCAGUGUUUCAGCUCUCCCUUGGAGUCCCGGGAAACGUAUCUCUUGGGAUCAGGAGCUGGGAUGGAACCCAGGGCUCCUGAGAUGGGACAAAGCUAUGCUCUGUGCACCUGUCUUGCCUCCUCACUUUGUACAAUGAGGUCCCACAAGCUCUCCUGGGAGAGUGAGCAGCUGACGAAAUCCCAGAGGCCCUGAAACCUCCCUUCCAUGUGCCUUCAGCCAAAAGCAGAACUGGAAACAUCCUAAGUGGGCCGGUAACGAGGCUAGCUCUGUCGACUAGUUCAAGACCCCUGAGCGCUUUGGGCCUGAGGUUCCUCAGCUUCCAAGUGAAAGGCUUCGACUUGGCAUUCUAAGAGACAAUCUCUGUGACCAUCAGUUUCCUCAUCUGUAAAACUGGCAUCAUGAUAACUUUGAAGGUUUUAUUCUGGGCAUAUAUAUGUUUGGAGGUGUGUGUAUGUUUGGGGAACCUUUGAAUUUGGAAGUACCAAGAGACAAGAACUUGCUGUGUUGCCCAGGCUGGUCUUGAACUUCUGGCCUCAAGAAGAUCCUCCCACCUCGACCUCUCAAAGUGUUGGUAUUACAGACGUGAGCCACUGGGCCCCACUGUGUUCUGUUCUUAUUGCCCAUGACAAUUAAAGUUAGCUCUAUCUCAUCUCCAUGACCAUCACAAACACAUGCCAUUAAUUUUGCUCACCCAAAUCUCUAUGCUCUGACUUCUGGGCACCUAGUACUGGCUAAUGAGCUGUGAGCUGGGCCAGAGCAUAGAAUAGCUGGUGCGAGACCUUUUGAGAGUUCUAUCUCCCUCUGUCAUGGCAACCAGCCAUAUUCAAAAUGGCAACCAGCAAUAUUCAAAAUGAGGGCUACUGCCAGGCAUGCUGGCUCAUGCCUGUAAUCCCAG